Molecule: ribosomal RNA, 1538 nt
Filed under: Curtobacterium flaccumfaciens
Lineage: Bacteria; Bacillati; Actinomycetota; Actinomycetes; Micrococcales; Microbacteriaceae
Description: bacterial SSU rRNA
Rfam family: Bacterial small subunit ribosomal RNA
Source: RNAcentral
UUUUACGGAGAGUUUGAUCCUGGCUCAGGACGAACGCUGGCGGCGUGCUUAACACAUGCAAGUCGAACGAUGAUGCCCAGCUUGCUGGGUGGAUUAGUGGCGAACGGGUGAGUAACACGUGAGUAACCUGCCCCUGACUCUGGGAUAAGCGUUGGAAACGACGUCUAAUACUGGAUAUGAUCACUGGCCGCAUGGUCUGGUGGUGGAAAGAUUUUUUGGUUGGGGAUGGACUCGCGGCCUAUCAGCUUGUUGGUGAGGUAAUGGCUCACCAAGGCGACGACGGGUAGCCGGCCUGAGAGGGUGACCGGCCACACUGGGACUGAGACACGGCCCAGACUCCUACGGGAGGCAGCAGUGGGGAAUAUUGCACAAUGGGCGAAAGCCUGAUGCAGCAACGCCGCGUGAGGGAUGACGGCCUUCGGGUUGUAAACCUCUUUUAGUAGGGAAGAAGCGAAAGUGACGGUACCUGCAGAAAAAGCACCGGCUAACUACGUGCCAGCAGCCGCGGUAAUACGUAGGGUGCAAGCGUUGUCCGGAAUUAUUGGGCGUAAAGAGCUCGUAGGCGGUUUGUCGCGUCUGCUGUGAAAUCCCGAGGCUCAACCUCGGGCUUGCAGUGGGUACGGGCAGACUAGAGUGCGGUAGGGGAGAUUGGAAUUCCUGGUGUAGCGGUGGAAUGCGCAGAUAUCAGGAGGAACACCGAUGGCGAAGGCAGAUCUCUGGGCCGUAACUGACGCUGAGGAGCGAAAGCAUGGGGAGCGAACAGGAUUAGAUACCCUGGUAGUCCAUGCCGUAAACGUUGGGCGCUAGAUGUAGGGACCUUUCCACGGUUUCUGUGUCGUAGCUAACGCAUUAAGCGCCCCGCCUGGGGAGUACGGCCGCAAGGCUAAAACUCAAAGGAAUUGACGGGGGCCCGCACAAGCGGCGGAGCAUGCGGAUUAAUUCGAUGCAACGCGAAGAACCUUACCAAGGCUUGACAUACACCGGAAACGGCCAGAGAUGGUCGCCCCCUUGUGGUCGGUGUACAGGUGGUGCAUGGUUGUCGUCAGCUCGUGUCGUGAGAUGUUGGGUUAAGUCCCGCAACGAGCGCAACCCUCGUUCUAUGUUGCCAGCGGGUUAUGCCGGGGACUCAUAGGAGACUGCCGGGGUCAACUCGGAGGAAGGUGGGGAUGACGUCAAAUCAUCAUGCCCCUUAUGUCUUGGGCUUCACGCAUGCUACAAUGGCCGGUACAAAGGGCUGCGAUACCGUAAGGUGGAGCGAAUCCCAAAAAGCCGGUCUCAGUUCGGAUUGAGGUCUGCAACUCGACCUCAUGAAGUCGGAGUCGCUAGUAAUCGCAGAUCAGCAACGCUGCGGUGAAUACGUUCCCGGGCCUUGUACACACCGCCCGUCAAGUCAUGAAAGUCGGUAACACCCGAAGCCGGUGGCCUAACCCUUGUGGAAGGAGCCGUCGAAGGUGGGAUCGGUGAUUAGGACUAAGUCGUAACAAGGUAGCCGUACCGGAAGGUGCGGCUGGAUCACCUCCUUUCUAAGGAGCAUCUGG